CUGCUCAAUGAUUUUUUAAAUUGCUGUGGUAUUUUGACUAUACGAAGGUAUUGUAAUAAGGUCUUAAAUAGAUGCUAAGAGAAUGGUUGAACAAGGAUUUACUUUUUUAGAUUGAAUAUUUGAAGUUGGUUUUUAAGUGAAAAGACUUAAAUGAAUUUUUGGGACAAGAAGACCCUAUGAAUUUUUUAUUAAGUAAUUGAUUUAAUUUUUUAAAUUGAUUUUUAAUUUGGUUGGGGUGAUUUUUAAAGAUUAAUAAUCUUUAAAAAUAUAAAUUGAUCCAUUAUUAAUGAUUAAUUGAUAAAAAUACUCUAGGGAUAACAGCGUAAUAAUUUUGGAUAGUUCAUAUUGAUAAAAUUGAUUGCGACCUCGAUGUUGGAUUAAGAUACUUUUAUAAUGAAGGGGUUAUAAAAAGAAGUUUGCUCAACUUUUAAUAUCUUACUUGAUCUGAGUUCAGACCGG
RNAcentral lists this ribosomal RNA (459 nucleotides) under Argas brevipes. Its description in RNAcentral is "partial 16S ribosomal RNA". The stretch from base 314 to 459 matches the Rfam family "Bacterial large subunit ribosomal RNA", at positions 2473 to 2619 of the family's 2925-position model. The record is from RNAcentral. Lineage: Eukaryota; Metazoa; Arthropoda; Arachnida; Ixodida; Argasidae.